GACGAACGCUGGCGGCGUGCUUAACACAUGCAAGUCGAGCGGUAAGGCCCUUUCGGGGGUACACGAGCGGCGAACGGGUGAGUAACACGUGGGUGACCUGCCCUCAGCUCUGGGAUAAGCCUGGGAAACUGGGGUCUAAUACCGGAUAUGACUCCAUGACGCAUGUUGUGGGGUGAAAGCCUUGUGCGGCUGAGGAUGGGCCCGCGGCCUAUCAGCUUGUUGGUGGGGNGAUGGCCUACCAAGGCGACGACGGGUAGCCGGCCUGAGAGGGCGACCGGCCACACUGGGACUGAGACACGGCCCAGACUCCUACGGGAGGCAGCAGUGGGGAAUCUUGCGCAAUGGGCGAAAGCCUGACGCAGCGACGCCGCGUGA
This 375-nucleotide ribosomal RNA is filed under the name uncultured bacterium. Its description in RNAcentral is "bacterial SSU rRNA". It matches the Rfam family "Bacterial small subunit ribosomal RNA", at positions 28 to 404 of the family's 1533-position model. The record is from RNAcentral.